RNAcentral lists this ribosomal RNA (1017 nucleotides) under uncultured eukaryote. RNAcentral's name for it is "bacterial SSU rRNA". It matches the Rfam family "Eukaryotic small subunit ribosomal RNA", at positions 384 to 1472 of the family's 1831-position model. The record is from RNAcentral.
UGGAGAGGGGGCCUGAGAAAUGGCUACCACAGCUACGGUAGGCAGCAGGUGCGUAAAUUACCCAAUCCUAAUUCAGGAAGGUAGUUACAGGAAAUUUGCAGCAUGAGGUUCGCCUCAGACUCAAACGAACACUUGUAAGUAUAGUGUGUUUAAUUGGGGGGCAAGUUUUGGUGCCAGCAGCCGCGGUAAUUCCAACCCCAAGAGUGUAUCUUAAUGUUGCUGCAGUUAAAAAGCUCGUAGUUGAAUUUCUGACUAACACGCGAUCCUAUGGAGAGCGAGUAGUCAUCGGCUUAGAGAAGCAGUACGACCCUCAAAAGUUGUAUUGUAGACCUAGCAUUUUACUUUGAAGAAAUUAGAGUGUUCCUGGCAGGCUACGCUUGCAUAUAUUAGCAUGGAAUAAUGGAAUAAGACUUUGUCUGUUUUUUUGGUUAACAGAUGAGUAAUGAUUAACAGGGACAGUCGGGGGCAUUCGUACUCAGUGGCUAGAGGUGAAAUUCUUAGAUUCGCUGAAGACGAACUAAUGCGAAAGCAUUUGCCAAGGAUGUUUUCAUUAAUCAAGAACGAAAGUUAGGGGAUCAAAGACGAUUAGAUACCGUCGUAGUCCUAGCCAUAAACUAUACCGACUAGGGAUUGGUGUGAAAAACACAUCAGCACCUAAUGAGAAAUCAAAGUCUUUGGGUUCUGGGGGGAGUAUGGUCGCAAGGCUGAAACUUAAAGGAAUUGACGGAAGGGCACCACCAGGAGUGGAGCCUGCGGCUCAAUUUGAUUCAACACGGGGAAGCUUACCAGGACAAGACCUUAGAAGGAUUGACAGAUUGAAAGCUUUUUCUUGAUUUGAGGGAUGGUGGUGCAUGGCCGUUCUUAGUUCGUGGAGUGAUUUGUCUGCGUUAAUUCCCCUAACGAACGAGACCUUAACCUGCUAAACUAGACGCGCUGACUUCUCAGAGCUGUCUUCUUAGAGGGACUAUGUAGUACAAAUACAUGGAAGUUUGAGGCAAUAACAGGUCCGUUAUGCCC